GAUGAACGCUAGCGAUAGGCCUAACACAUGCAAGUCGAGGGGCAGCAUAGAGUAGCAAUACUUUGAUGGCGACCGGCGCACGGGUGAGUAACACGUAUGCAACCUACCUACAUCAGGGGAAUAACCCGGAGAAAUUCGGACUAAUACCGCAUAAUACAGGGAUGCCGCAUGGCAAUAUUUGUUAAAGAUUUAUCGGAUGUAGAUGGGCAUGCGUUCCAUUAGCUUGUUGGUGAGGUAACGGCUCACCAAGGCAACGAUGGAUAGGGGAACUGAGAGGUUUGUCCCCCAAACUGGAACUGAGACACGGACCAGACUCCUACGGGAGGCAGCAGUGAGGAAUAUUGGUCAAUGGACGAGAGUCUGAACCAGCCAAAUCGCGUGAAGGAAGACUGCCCUACGGGUUGUAAACUUCUUUUGUACAGGAAUAAAAGACAUUACGUGUAAUGUAUUGCAUGUACUGUACGAAUAAGCGUCGGCUAACUUCGUGCCAGCCGCCGCCGUAA
Molecule: ribosomal RNA, 503 nt
Filed under: uncultured bacterium
Lineage: Bacteria
Description: partial 16S ribosomal RNA
Rfam family: Bacterial small subunit ribosomal RNA
Source: RNAcentral